This 490-nucleotide ribosomal RNA is filed under the name uncultured bacterium. RNAcentral describes it as "partial 16S ribosomal RNA". It matches the Rfam family "Bacterial small subunit ribosomal RNA", at positions 30 to 507 of the family's 1533-position model. The record is from RNAcentral.
AUUGAACGCUGGCGGCAGGCCUAACACAUGCAAGUCGAACGGUAACAGGAAGCAGCUUGCUGCUUUGCUGACGAGUGGCGGACGGGUGAGUAAUGUUUGGGAAACUGCCCGAUGGAGGGGGAUAACUACUGGAAACGGUAGCUAAUACCGCAUAACGUCGCAAGACCAAAGAGGGGGACCUUAGGGCCUCUUGCCAUCGGAUGUGCCCAGAUGGGAUUAGCUAGUAGGUGGGGUAACGGCUCACCUAGGCGACGAUCCCUAGCUGGUCUGAGAGGAUGACCAGCCACACUGGAACUGAGACACGGUCCAGACUCCUACGGGAGGCAGCAGUGGGGAAUAUUGCACAAUGGGCGCAAGCCUGAUGCAGCCAUGCCGCGUGUAUGAAGAAGGCCUUCGGGUUGUAAAGUACUUUCAGCGGGGAGGAAGGGAGUAAAGUUAAUACCUUUGCUCAUUGACGUUACCCGCAGAAGAAGCACCGGCUAACUCCGUG